RNAcentral lists this ribosomal RNA (600 nucleotides) under uncultured bacterium. RNAcentral describes it as "bacterial SSU rRNA". It matches the Rfam family "Bacterial small subunit ribosomal RNA", at positions 338 to 945 of the family's 1533-position model. The record is from RNAcentral.
CCUACGGGAGGCAGCAGUUAGGAAUCUUCCACAAUGGGCGCAAGCCUGAUGGAGCGACGCCGCGUGAGGGAUGAAGGUUUUCGGAUCGUAAACCUCUGAAUCUGGGACGAAAGGCGCUUCGGCGAGAUGACGGUACCAGAGUAAUAGCACCGGCUAACUCCGUGCCAGCAGCCGCGGUAAUACGGAGGGUGCAAGCGUUACCCGGAAUCACUGGGCGUAAAGGGCGUGUAGGCGGGAACUUAAGUCUGGCCUUAAAGACCGAGGCUCAACCUCGGGGAUGGGCUGGAUACUGGGUUUCUAGACCUCUGGAGAGGUACUCGGAAUUUCUGGUGUAGCGGUGGAAUGCGUAGAUACCAGAAGGAACACCGAUGGCGAAGGCAGAGUACUGGACAGAAGGUGACGCUGAGGCGCGAAAGUGUGGGGAGCAAACCGGAUUAGAUACCCGGGGUAGUCCACACCCUAAACGAUGUACGUUGGAUGACAGCAGGAUGCUGUUGUUGUCGAAGCUAACGCGAUAAACGUCCGCCUGGGAAGUACGGCCGCAAGGUUGAAACUCAAAGGAUUGACGGCUGAGACCGNGCGAGACGACGACGAGGAGAG